Streptococcus henryi is the source of this 120-nucleotide regulatory RNA element. It matches the Rfam family "PyrR binding site". From Rfam's summary of the family: This family represents the PyrR binding site and terminator structure. This RNA structure is found upstream of a variety of genes involved in pyrimidine biosynthesis and transport. The alignment also includes a portion of the antiterminator structure. The record is from Rfam. NCBI's taxonomy places the organism in Bacteria, Bacillati, Bacillota, Bacilli, Lactobacillales, Streptococcaceae.
AUAUCCUUUAAUACUGUCCCGUGAGGCAGGCAAGGAGAGAACAAGAAAAAAGUGUGCAGGUAGCCAUAGCUGUACCCCUAUUUUGUGGAAUCUCCUUGUUAUCAGGGAGAUUUUUUCUAU